This 551-nucleotide long non-coding RNA is filed under the name Calidris pugnax (ruff). Its description in RNAcentral is "lncRNA (ENSCPUG00000007739.1)". The record is from RNAcentral. Lineage: Eukaryota; Metazoa; Chordata; Aves; Charadriiformes; Scolopacidae.
AUGUGCCUGGUGAUGGUGUCCCAGCGUCUACUCCUACUGCAGGGCAGGAGCAGGGAUCCCUCAGUCCUUAGAGCGCUCCAGGUAUCCUGCUUGAUGGCUCAUUUAAGACCAAGAUUUCCUUUGUGGGCCAGGAGUAAAAUCCGAAUUUCCCUCCAAUACAGAGGACAUUCAGAAGGGGAAGCUGACCAGAACCCAGACUCAUCUGGCUACCAUGGGCAUCUCCCACUGCAUCAUUCAGGACCUGAGGGUGGAGGAUGUCUGGAUUUAGAUCUGCAUUACCGGAAACAAACCCUGCCCAGCUGUGGAUGUUGAUAUUACAGAUGCACAGCAAAGAGAAACAGCAUCCAUGUGCAGUGACACAGGAGAGGUGAUGAACCUUUUCUGCUUCCAGCUCUGCAGUCCACUGCUGCCUCCUGUCCCUGUAAUCUGUGCUCCUUAACAAAACAAAGCAAGUAAAAGAAAAUAAGGAGAGAGAGGCACCUUAAAAGCCAGCAAGAGUGGGAAGAUGCACUGCCUCUGAUGUCCUAGAAAAUCUCUGUCCCUGCUCCUAG